GCCGCGGAGCUUUGAGUUGCUGCCGUAACACGGACCUUAUUUUUGAUGGAUAGUGUGUGUCUCUAAACGGAGGCUGACCUUUGAACUCUAACGGAGGAGGUCAGUGACGGCAUGUCGCCCCCUGCUGGCAUGGAGCGCUGUGAUUGACAGCGAGGACAGAUGCUGUCGUCUAAACAGGGGCCAUCACAAGAACGCUGCAUUACUAUUGGGACGCUCGUAUCAUCAUCAUCAACCUUCAAACAGGAAGUCCACUCACUGUGGAAUCUUUUCCCGGUGGAAGUUCGUGUGGGAGCCGCAACAGAGUUGGGACAAUUAGCGGUCGUUUGUGUGGAAAGCCAUCGCCGCUGUCAAUCAGAUGUUUAUCGGAGGAGGUGAUUUUCGGGAUAAACGUGCAGGACUUUUCUUAACGAGCGGCAGCACAAAGACGACCUGGACGGAUUCUACCCGGCAGCAAGAGACCAGCCGCACAAAGACAAGACACAGGCGCUGCCCACACAGGUGAAGAAGAAUGUACCUGCAAAAUGGCCACCUCGUUACGCAGCUGACUUUCUUGUUUCGUGGGAAAACGAAGUUUGUCAAUGAUCUUGAUGGCCACGUCGCGGCUGGACUUCCUGUGCUUGCCUGUCAACACACACCACGAGCGUCCAUGUUGAAAUGUUUCAGGACAUGAGGUUGGUCAGAUGAUGGUCAGAUGAUGAGAUGUUUGAGGACAUCAGGAGCCCCCAAAACACCAACAUUAGAAGCUUCAUCACCAUGGCGUCACCGGCCGGACUGUCACAUCUUUGCUAGCACGGCCAUGUGACGGCGUUAGCAUCGCACCAGCUGCUUUGUGUCACAUGACGUCUCAGGCACGGGCCUCGCCCGAUGUGAGGUGACAUGUUUGCUUUCCUCGGGCUGAGCUAAGAUGCUAACGUGUUUGUGCUGCACACUUAGUGACAUGUGUGUGUUGUAAGGAAGCAGCACAUGAAAACAACUUACACACACUCGUACUAUGUGUGUGUGUGUGUGUGUGUGUGGACACCUGCUGUGUGUGUGCGUGUUGAGCUGCUCCCCCCGCUGAGUGCGCCGCCAUUAAAAUAGAAAGAAAUACUUGAAGACGCAGCCAGGAAGAAUCUUCAUUAAAAUCCCAACGAGCAAUUCAUUUAAUUUCAUCAGCCAAUAAAUAAGCAACUUGGUCCAAAUAGCAGGCGGGAGACGACUUCAUUCACAAACAGUCAAUCACUGCCUGUCAAAAGAAGUGUGUGUUUGCAUGUGUGUGUGUGUGUGUGUGUGUGUGUGUGUGUGUGUGUGUGUAAACCGCCGCCCCCAUUCUCUCAUAGAUGACAUCUGUGUCAGUCUUUGUCCCACCUUCAUCUCACAGCUGGACUUUUGUCUUCAUCAUCUCUUCUUUCCAUUCUUUUUUCUCCACUUCCUGUGUCACAUGUCAGCCGGGCUCACUGAUUGGCUGCUGAGGAGCUGAAGUGAGAGAAAGACAUGCGGUACAUAAGCGUCCACACACACACACACCCAAUCAUGUUAGUACAGUAAACCUCGGAUAUAUCGGAAAUUCGCUCAUAAUGCACAGAUAAAAAAGAACCGAUUUUUCUGUAAUGCAUUUCCAAUAAAAAUUAAUUUCAUAUAUCGGAUUUUUUAUAACAGAUUUCGCCUAUUUCGGACAAAAUCUCCAGUCCCGUUCCAAUGCAUUUCCAUGAAAUUUCCCUGGCAUAUAUCGGAUAUAUCGCCGCAUCGUGGCGCUCCCGAUUCGCCGAAUGGUGACAGGCCGCUAUACGACGUCAUUUGCAGCGUUUGCAGCGUUGCCUGCGCGUCCAGGUACAUUGGAAACAUAGUCAAGGAAGUGCCUUUUUAUAACGGAUAA
Non-coding RNA from Doryrhamphus excisus (bluestripe pipefish), 1855 nucleotides. Lineage: Eukaryota; Metazoa; Chordata; Actinopteri; Syngnathiformes; Syngnathidae. The record is from RefSeq and is a predicted model, not a curated record.